GGGGUGAGAAGAGCCUGCCAGGCUGCUGCUGUGUGGAGAGAGCUUGGCCGAGGUGUUGGUGAGCGAGGAGGGCUGUUGGUAGCUGAGACCAAGAUCACUUUGGAGGGCUAUGACACCACCCGAGUCCAUUAAUGCGUUGCAGCAGGGGAGCUGUGGCAUGGAGCGUCACCGCUUAGGAAGCAGAAGUUGUUCUUGCAGCCACCGCCUCCUCCUGGGCCUUCCUUGUCAGAAGUGUCAGAAACCAUCCCCAGCGUGCGCUGGGGGGGCCGACCUAUUGGUCCCAGAUUCCUCACUUGGAGGCGUUUUUGAGCCGGUUUGCAGACGAUUCAAGCCCCCCGCACCCCAGCUUCCACCUCCUGAAAACCAUCCUCCUGGCAUCUCUGAAUUAGACACCCAGAGGCAGGGGUUGCUGCCUGGAAAGCUGUCUGGGCGAGGCCUUUCCUAGGGACGGCUUGCCUGGGAGCAGAAAUGCAGGAGCCGGAGCUGAGGAGCGCCCAGGCGCUUUGAUGAGGCCCCGGCUGAGCUCAACCCCUCAUUUCCUGCUCCUCACAGCUCUGUGCUUCGAUCGCCCUCGGUCUGAAUGAGACUGCGGGAAUCACCCCUGUCCCUUAAGCAGGGGAGCGGGCGCAUUUGGGAGCUAGCAUUAAAUUCAGCUUUGGAGUCUGCCUGGAGCGUGCUUAGGUCUGUGUGUGAAAUGCAGCCCCGGCUGUCACCUCAGGAGCGGUCCUUGGGGAGCGGGCCCGCGCUGCGUGUACCUGACAGCCCUGCGAGGAACAAGGCGGUGAUCUUGAGGGGGUUGUUGCUUUGCUGGGGCUAAAUGCAGAGUGCUGAGGUGUUUGAAUCGUUUCUAAGUGCC
Molecule: long non-coding RNA, 856 nt
Filed under: Anser brachyrhynchus (Pink-footed goose)
Lineage: Eukaryota; Metazoa; Chordata; Aves; Anseriformes; Anatidae
Description: lncRNA (ENSABRG00000004186.1)
Source: RNAcentral